RNAcentral lists this long non-coding RNA (625 nucleotides) under Bos taurus (domestic cattle). RNAcentral describes it as "long non-coding RNA NONBTAT010973". Lineage: Eukaryota; Metazoa; Chordata; Mammalia; Artiodactyla; Bovidae. The record is from RNAcentral.
ACUCAUACUCAGCCUUCAAGAGGGAAGCAAAUGAGAAAAAGAAGAUAUAUGGAGAACGAAAAAUUAAUAGACAAGAGACUGACAUUCAUAUACUGAUAAACUAGAGGAAAUGUAUUCAUAUCCAGUUCUUAGAGAUACAGCACCAUCUAUUAAAUCAAGAAAUACCCUCCAUAAUAUCAUAAAUGUACUAAUGCUGUAAGUGAUACAAAUAGGUGUAUGAAUAUCCUCUUUAUUUAAUUCAGUCUUCUGUUAUGUAAUGAUUUAUAUAUAAAAGUGGGACUUUUAACUCAUUUGAGGGCAGAAUGAAUGAUCUAGUUCUAUAAAGCACCUAACAGAUUUUAUUACUACAAAUGGCUAUAAAUGUUUACCUAAAAAUUACCAUUUCAUGUAUAGCUAUGUAUCAACAUAUGCAAAUAAAACCUAUUCAUAUGGGUCAAACACUUAUUACAUAAUAUAAUUAACUUCAAGGCAACAGUAAAUAUAAAAAUAAAGGUAACAGAGUAACUGUUCCUUGGAUGAUUCACAUAGAAAUUUUUAGUGGGUAAAAACUGUCCUUUGGUUCAAAAUUAUUGUUCUGAAGCUAACAAUACAGGUCAUGAAUAUAGUGUUAUUAAAAAUCUAAACU